GAAGUGAUACAGGAUUUUCAGGCGUCCGUGCUUCAAGUGUCAGACUCCCCAUAUGAUGAACAGUGAGUAACUACAAUGUUGCACCCACAAGAGAAUGCCUGUGUAUUAUACACAUCUAACUUCUGCACAGCACCCCGAUAUAACACCUGUGUAUUACACACUGAUCACACUCUGUGGACAUUUUUUGGUGUUAUUUUUAGCAGUAUAAUUUAAAUUAACCACCAUGUUCCCUAAAAAAUAUCAAUUAUGAUGUUACAAAAUGAAAAAAGUAAAAUUCAACGAAGUGCAGCGAAAGUGUGUUUCUGGUUAACUAAAAAUAAAUAAAUAUUGUAGCGGACCCGUGGUAACCCAUUUUCCCCCCAGUAACCGGACGACACAAAGUUCCAGGGGUACAACGACACUUUAUUGGCCGCAUUCGGCUUUAUACUUUUCCCCAUGCAAGGGGUGGGUCACACACAAAGACAACGUCCCCUCCCAGGGUCAGGGGUCAUAUAACGAAUCUGGAACCUCAGUCCCUUUGUCCUGGACCUGUUUCCGCCCCUCAAUGUCCCCUCCUGGGGCCCUCCCCCUCCCAGGGGUCUCCUGACAGAAACGGAACUCCAGUCCCUUUGUCCCCUUUUCCCGCCACCCAUCCUUAGGGUUUUCCCACCUCCGAUGACCAGGGGGUCUUCAUCCCAUGAGCCUCUGUACCUGGGAGCCCCAGCGCGGGAAAGCUUCCCACCUCCUGGACUCCCAGUUACAGAAAGCCCACCAAACCGCCAUUGUCCUCAAAGAGUGUCCCCACCAAUCUGCGGGGUCCCUGAGUGAAACCAGGCAAGUGAAGCAUCUCCUUUCAGGACACGAAUGCUCCCCCUGGCCACCGCUCAUCUAAACGAACGGCGGCCACCCAGGGAAGCACUCAUUAAUUACUUCCCUUGCGCUUUCACACUUAUGUUGCGAGUUGCCAACGUUCUAAGUGAUUGGUGCAAACAUUCCAAAGGGCACUGGUGAGGUCCUUGUUCGGGAACUGAUCCACAAAUGCUCUCCCUGGAUGGCGUUCGUCUAACGAACAGGCCGCCACCCAGGGAAGUACGCGCUGAGGCUUCCCUUGCAGUUUGUGGUUUUGACACCUCGUUACGAGGUGCGAACGUUCUAAGAUAAUAUUCUAAUUGGGGUUUCGUGGUGGUCCCCAUUCCGGAGGUGAAUGGGUUCCCUUUGUGAUGGCACCUCCCGAACGGGGAGCAGGCAGUUUGGAGUGAACACACAUAGCCACUACAGGAGCAAGAAAGGGAAAAUACCGAAAAGGGAGGGAGAACACAUGCCCAAACAGUACACACACAACAGGGAAAUCAGAGCAACGCACAGUUUAGCAGCAGGUCCACUACACAGCUCCCCCUUAACCACUAGCUGGCAUCCGCAGGCAGAUCCCAACGGAUCAGCCUGUGGAUGUCCGGAGGAAGUACCCAUGGAUCACUUGUCCAGAGCUGUCUGCCUGGACAACCCGUUACCAUUGCCAUUCUGAUUGCUCAGUCUGUAAUAGAUGGUAAAGUCAUACGGUUGUAGGGCCAGGCUCCACCGUAACAACCUGGCAUUGUCCCCAGAGACCCGGGUAAGCCAUACCAUCGGGUUGUGGUCCAUGAACAGUUUAAAUGGCUGUCCAUAGGGCUGUAGGUUUUUGAGGGCCCACACCAUCGUCAGGCACUGCUUUUCGAUGGCGGCGUAGCUUACCUCCCUGGGUAAUAGCUUCCUGCUGAGGGUGUGCCCCAACUUGGCUCAGUACUGCUCCCAAUCCAAACAUACACCCUGUUCCAAAUUAUAAUGCAAAUUCUAUUUAACUGUCACUACGAUUAAAUAUUUUGUUUUUCAGUUUAACUCAUGGAUGGCAUUGUGUCUCAGGGCUCUUUUGAUCACUGAAAACAAUCUCGGACACCUGUGAUAAUUAGAUUGCCAGGUGAGCCCAAUUUAAGGAAAAACUACUAAAGGAGGGUGUUCCACAUUAUUAAGCAAAGCACCAUUUUCAUGCAAUAUGGGGAAGGAAAAGGAUCUCUCUGCUGCCGAAAAGAGUGAAAUAGUUCAGUGCCUUGGAUGAGGUAUGAAAACAUUAGAUAUUUCACGAAAACUUAAUCGUGAUCAUCGCACUAUUAAGAGAUUUGUGGCUGAUUCAGAGCACAGACGGGUUCGUGCAGAUAAAGGCACAUUGAGGAAGAUUUCUGCCAGAUCCAUGCAUCGGAUCAAGAGAGCAGCUGCUAAAAUACCAUUACAUAGCAUACAGAUAUUUGAAGCUGCUGGUGCCUCUGGGGUCCCACGGACAUCAAGGUGUAGAGUCCUCCAGAGUCUUGCAACUAUGCAUAAACUUUCUAUUCAGCCACCACUAACCAAUGCUCACAAGCAGAAAGAGCUGCAUUGGGCAGAAAAAUACAUGAAGACUAAUUUUCAAACAGUCCUGUUCACUAAUGGAACAGGAUGUAUGGAGUAGUGGAUGGUUGGUGGACGGCCACCCUGUUCCAACAAGGCUGCAACAUCAGCAAGGCGGUGGUGGAGUUAUGUUUUGGGCCGGAAUCAUGGGAAGAGAGCUGUUUGUCCCCGAAGGUGUAAAGAUGACCUCUGCAAAGUAUGUGGAGUUUCUUACUGACCACUUUCUUCCCUGGUACAGAAGGAAGAACUAUGCUUUCCGUAAUAAAAUCAUCUUCAUGCAUGUCAAUACACCAAGAAUACCUCUGCAUCAAUGGCUGCUAUGGGGAUAAAAGGAAAGAAAGUCAUGGUGUGGCCUCCAUCCUCCACUGACCUCAAUCCUAUUGAGAACCUUUGGCGCAUCCUCAAGCAAAAGAUCUAUGAGGGUGGGAGGCAGUUUACAUCCAAACAGCAACUCUGGGAGGCUAUUCUGACAUCUUGCAAACAAAUUCUAGCAGAAACUGUCCAAAAACUCACAAGUUCAAUGGAUGCAAGACUUGUGAAGCUGCUAUCAAAUAAGGGGUCCCAUGUUAAAAUGUAACGUGACCUGUUAAAAUGUUUAAAAAGUUAACAUGUUGUUAUAAGUUUGAAUGACAUAGCUUUUGGUUUCAGUAAAUGUGCUGCAAACACAACAAAUGACAAUUUUCAGUUCUUUACAACAUAUAAAGUGUUUUGAAACUUACUGUGCGUAAUAAUUUGGAACAGUGCAUUGUAAGUUUUUUAUGUUUAAAAAAAAAUACUCUUAUCAUUAGGAUGUUUGUUCAAUAAAAUUUGAAUUGUACUCUUAAUAGUUGAUAACAUGAGAAUUAUGCUGACUGUUAUUUACAUCAAUUAUUUAGGUAAAGGAGAAAAAUAUCAUUUGCAUAAUAAUUUGGAACAGGGUGUAGAGGCAUCUGUGUGGACGUGAAAAUGUUUCUUGGGAUUAGGAGCGGCCAAGACUGGGCAUUUACCAGGGCAUUCUUAAUGGCUUGGAACGUCUUCUCACACUCUGGGGUCCAGGCCACCUGCCGGGAUAGGUUCUUGCAGGUCUGGUCAUGACAGGUUUAGGUAUGGCGCUAUAGUUGGGUCAAACUUUCUGUAGUACCCUGCAGUCCCUAGGAAGGCCAGCACUUGGAUGUUCGUGGAUGAGGCUUACUGGCUACUGCUUCUACCUUGGCCGGUUCAGGUUUCUGUGCCCCACACCCCACCCGGUAUCCUAGAUACUGCACCUCUGCCAUCCCGAGGUGGCAUUUGCUCGGUUUUAGGGUCAACCCUGCCUCUCUAAUCCGGUCAAGCACAGCUCCUACAUGGGCCAGGGGUUCCUCCCAGGUAUCGCUCUAUAUAGCGAUGUCGUCCAGGUAGGUGCAUGCAUAAAACUAGAGGCCCUCCAGUAGCCAGUCCACCAUCCUCUGGAGAGUGGCCGGGGCAUUCUUCAUUCCAAAUGGUAUUACUCUAAAUUUCUACAGGUCGAAUGGGGUGACGGAGGCCGACUUAGGAAUUGCCUUUGCAGCUAGGGGAAUUUGCCAGUACCCUUUGCACAGAUCAAUGGUGGUGAGGUACCUGCCCCGGGCCAUCCUAUCUAACAGCUUGUCAAUGCAUGGCAUGGGAUAGGCAUCCGAGACCAUCUUGUCAUUGAGCCUCCGGUAGUCCACACAGAACUGGGUGGUCCCAUCUUACUUGGGACUCUUGGGCGGUUUAAUGAUUCCUAAAUGGAGUAUCUCCCGGAUCUCCUGCCUCAUGCUCUCCCGUACGGCCUCGGGAAUUUGAUAUGGGCUUUGCUGCAGGAGUUGCUGGUCUGGCCUUUUCCACUAGCGUGGUAACUCCACAGAGGUUGGAGAACAUCUCCCUCCUGACAGCCAGCAUCCGCAGCGCCUGGCUGCGUUCAUCGUGGGUUAGCCGGUCCCCUAAUUGGACUUCCUCUAUGGACCCUGUCUGAGCUCCCUCCUCCAGGAGGUCAAGCAGGGGAAGAUUAUCGUAAUCUUUUGAAGGCAGGGGCCACAUCCUCUGUCCACUCGUGGUAGGGUUUCAGCAUGUUAACAUGCAAUAGGUGUUGGACUCCGGUACCCGAGUAAGGGCCGAUCACAUUUCCAUUCCACUACCCGGUAUGCUAGGCAGCCUGUAGCCUGUCAUGCUGGAUGGAUUUUAAAAUUAAACCUUCUGUCCCACCUGAAAGCUGCGGCUCCUGGUUCCAUUAUCAUACCAUGUGCGCUAACGCCUCUGGGCCGUCUGGAGGUUCCCCCGCACCAAGUGGGUGAGUUCCUCCAGACGGUCUCUAAACUCAUUGACAUAUGGGACGAUGGGGGUUCCUCCUUGUUCCCCAGCUAUUUCCUGGGAGCCACCAGCUGCUUGGUGGUUGUAGAAGCUGACCCUGGUUUUCUUGUCUCCACUAUGCGGUACAGUAGUCCCUGAUUCCAUCCCUCCCUACCUGACCAGAGGUUGUCAGUGCCCUAUAACCCUGAAGAGUGGGGUCUAAUAUUACCUCCCUUUCAAACUCAGCCGGGGUAUCCCAAGGUAUGGGGCUCGGGGCAGGAGUAGGUUCACUGGGCACUGAGGGCAAGGGAUUUGCACGGGUGGCCCUGGUGUGGGACCAGUAGGGGUCCCAGGGGUAGGGUGGCUAGCACAGGGUUUUUUCUUACGUGGUUGUCUGCGGGGUACCUGGUUGUGGAGGUGGGUAUGGGAGCCUACCUGAGCCUCAGAGUGUGAGCCGUCAUGGGUGGUGCGGGCUUGUUGACGGGUUAUGAUGGGGUGAGCUUCUUCAGGAGCCUAGAGAUGUACGUAGAUGGAGGUGAGAUGGCCCAGGUCAUUGCAGAGGAGCACCUCCGCGAGUAGCUUGUCCAUGAGGCCAACUGUCACCCUUCUGCUCCCGGCGCCCCAGUCGAGGUGGACUUGUGCAGUGGGUAGGCAGUAGAUCUCUCCCCCGGCUACUCAGACGGCGAUUGUCCCGCCGGUCUUCUGAGUCGCAGGUAUGAGUGGGGAGUGGACUAGGGUGAGGGUGGCCACGGUAUCCCUCAGACUCUACACAGUGCGUCCGUUCAGCUGUACGGGCUGCCGGUGCUGGUCUCUGUUGUUGUAGUAGGCUUGGAGGGGAUUGGCUUCAUGGAGACAGGACCAGGUUGCUUAACUGGAGGUUGGAGGAUCCAUGAUGGCAGCCUGGUAACAAUGCGCUGCCACUCUCGGGGGGUAGGGAGCCACGGUGUUGAUGAACUGGGGUCGCUGUCGAUCCUGGGGGCACUCCUGUUUGAUGUGCAGAGGCUGGCGUCACUUGAAACAGAUCGGCUCGGCCCCAGAUGGAGCCUGUGGGGUUAUGGUCCUAGCCAGGGGACCAUAAGGUGGGAGAGCUGUAACCAGGCUAGGCGGAGGUAUGAAUCACAUUGGGUGGUCGGUAGCUGGUGAGGGAGUAGGGCGUUGGGACCGCCUGGUGUAAGCCUACUCAUCGGCCCGUUUGGCGGCUUCAGCGAAGUUCUUGGACUGCCUAUCCCUCACCCAUUCCUGAGUUUCGGUGGAGAGUUCGUUAUAGAAGUGUUCCAGCAGAAACAGCUUGUGAUAGACCCUCUGUCCCUGAAUUUUAAAGUUUGUGUCUUUUCGCCUAACCUUUCGACCAAGUACAUUUAUGCCUUAUUUCACCAUCGUCCAUUCGACCAACGAAAGAACUACUGAACGACUGAACACCCAAAUGGGGAGUGUGGCGCUUGUUAACCUUAUUGACCCCUCUUAACACCUCCAAUAACCGCGAACACCUCAACGUUCUAAGUGGUCGACUGGGUGGUCGGUGUUCGUAUGCUCGAACACGUGGUGGUGACCAUCUUGGAAUACGAAUGCAGCCAGUGGUGUUUUGUCGUCAAGUGCAUGGAACUAUAAUCGGACACUCGGUUAUGAACACCACUAAGACUUCCAUGUUCAUGGAUGUUAGGCACUAUAAGUACAAAAUGGACGACGUUCAGUAAUAAUAUCUUCCGAACCCCUAUGACUAUGAGAAUGGAUGCACAAACAGUUAUUUUGUCUAUUAACCCUAGUUUAAUACUCUGGAAGGAGACCGGCCGCACAGUCUGAUUCUAUGGAACUAUUCUGGGCAGGAGCCUCGUGUGCGGUCCGUCAAACAUACAAACUCCAUAUAAAUCCUGAACCCCUGAACCGAUAUGGGUGAUUUUUUUAUAUAUUGUUCCCCCCAGAUCUGGGCUAUCAGGGGAUGUGCUUUUGUUUUGGGGUACUUUCAGAUUGUAUUAAAAUUAUGUUCUUUUUUCACCUGAAGAUAAUUGAGUUAAAGACAGUAGUUGACUUAAUUAUCUCCCAGGCAGAGUGGAGGGACUGCAUGUCCUGUAUGGGAGUGUCACACUGUAUAACUCUGUUAUUAUUGGUUGAUAAUUUUGUAUCACUGUCCCCAACAAGAUCCACAUGGGUGUAUCCCUUGGCUGGGGACUUGUAUAAAAGGCCAGUCUGGCUACCAUUAAAACAGUCUUACUGCACCCUCAAUACAGAAUCUUGUCUCUUAUUGUAUGGAACUGCUAUAUGGCUAUCACUACUAGCUCUUGUAAGAGCUUCUCUACUUGGAAUGCAGUAACACUCCUCAUACAUGGGAGAAGGACAUCUCUGGUGGUGGAAACCCCUCUACAGUUGGGGUGACCGCUACACAGCUGAAAAAUCACCUCGGGGGACUUCGCGUGCUGCGAGUCCACCAAAUUCAGGACAGCUCUGUGGAUGCGGCAUGUCCUUCUCCCCUUUUCUUGUCCCUCUUAACUUCCGCCGGUAUGCCUCCGGAGUUAUGGCCAUACCACUUUCACCGCAUCAUAGACCCGGAUCUGGUCCCCUGGUAUUGCUCGGUAUGCCUCUGCAGCCCUGAUGGUCAGCUUACCAGCCAGGAUGGUGACCCAAUCUGCAGGACUGACUUCUAGCAGUAGGCACUGCCGUUCAAAAUCCUGCAGGAAGUCUUCAAUGCCCUCUUUUGCAUCCCUGAACUCCAUGAAGGCAUUAUGGGGCAACUUCGGUUUCUGGGCAGAGGUAACCGGACCCUCUCUUGUCCUUUGUUCCUCUGCUUGUGUGGGGGUCUCCCCCUGCGUCUGAGGCAGGACGAAGGCUUAGGUCUCAGAGAUGAGCUUGGCCAGGAGUUCCGCUGAGGGAGCCCCUUUGAAUAGGGCCAAGCACCCUCUGAUUGCUUUGUUGAAGGACUCUUCUUCACCCUCCACACAGUUCCAGGGGUACAACAACACUUUAUUGGCCACAUUUAGCUUUAUACUUUUCCCUAUGCAAGGGGUGGAUCACACAUAAAGGGUUAAAUGACCCCUGAGAGGGGGUGGCCCCCACCCCCUCCCAGGCUCCACCCCCUCUCAGGGGUCAUUUAACGGAUCCGGAACCCCAGUCCUUUUGUCCCAUGUUCCUGUCACUCAGUGUCCCCUCCCAGGGCCCUCCCCCUCCCCCCAGUGGUCUCCUGACGGAAACGGACCUCCAGUCCCUGUUCCCGCCACCCAUCCUCAGGGAUUUCCCACCUCCAGUGACCAGGGGGUCUUCAUCUACCUGGGAGCCACAGAGCGGGAAAGCUUCCCGCCUCCUGGACUUCCAGUUACAGAAAGCCCACCAAACCGCCAUUGUCCCUAAAGAGUGUCCCCACCAAUCUCAGGGACCCCCAGAAUGGUAACCUCCAUGAACAGCCUCUGUUCGCGGGGUCCCUGGGUGAAACCAGGCAAGGGAAGCAUCUCCUUUCGGGACACGAAUUCUCUAUACAAACUGCAACCACCCAGGGAAGCACUCAUUAUAGCGGCACUGUCAUGCCGAACUUACCUUUCUUUAAUCGAUUCCUUUUCUCUCCCUCUGUCAGGAUCUGUUCUUCAUUUCUUCCUAUCUGCUCUACUUUUCUUUAAAACAUAAGACCAGCAGAGGAGCAAAGUGUGCUUCAUUUCCGGUGGUCAGAGAAAUUUUCCCACAAUUCUUAGCUUUCCUCCCUGUUCCUGCGAUGCAUGCUGUCAGUAUUGCCGAAUGUCCUGUCACUUAGGACGCCGGCAAAACUACUGAAUUGCGUCCUAACAGAAUGAGAACAGUUUCUCCAUUCGUGUUAGAACUCAAUUCGGGACUUUGUUCGGAUCGGAAUUUCAUUCAAAUGAAUGAAACUCCGAUCUGAUUCCUGCCGCGGCUGCAUUUUGCAGCCGCUUAGUAGAUAGCUCCCUAAUACCAUGGGAAUUAGGGAGCUAUCUACCAAAAGGCUGAAAGACCUAAAUUGGUCCCAACCCACCGCUCAAGGGUGGGGGCCAAGGGGGGGAGGACAAUAGGUCCCCCCUAUUACUUAGUAUUAGUAAAUUCUGCCCCUACUCGCUAUACCGCAAGUAGGGGCAUGUCUAUUAAACAGUGAGCAGCCUGUGGCUGUUCACUGCUAAAAAACAAGCAAACCCUAGUACCCCCCCCGGCCUUAAAGGAUAAUGAGGGGGGGGACCUAUUGUCCUCCCCCCAGCCCCAACCCCUGAACGGUGGGUGGGGGCCAUAAAUAACAAUGGGUGGGGCGGGUGGGGGCCAUAAAAGACAAAGACUAUUGUCCUCUUCCCCCACCCCUGAGCGGUGGGUGGGGGCCAUAAAUAACAAUGGGGGGGACCCUGAGCGGCGGGUGGGGGCCCUAAAUUAAAAUGUCCCCCUCCCCCCUUCCAAGGGCACUAGGGGUCCCCAAGCCCCUAGUCACCCCCCCCCCAAAAAAAAAUAGUGAGGGGGAAAUAAAAUAAACUACCUGUAAAAAUUAAAAAUAAAACUUACCAUUUGAUGUCUUCUUUUUUCUAAAAUCUUCAUUUUUCAGACCCAAAAAAGGCCAAUUAAAACCAUUAUACCCGUCUUAAUACCCGGACCUGCCCCGCCCUGCAAUUAGGCUCAGAACACUCUGAUUGGAUGGCUCAAAAUCCAUCCAAUCAGAGUGCUCUGUGUCAUUUUACACAGCGUGAGAAAAUUCCAAAGAACCUUCCCACGCUGUGUAAAUUGACUAGCACUCUGAUUGGAUGGAUUUCAAGCCAUCCAAUCAGAGUGUUCUGAGCCUAAUUGCAGGAAGCCUUGCCCCGCCCUGCGGAGCUCAGUCUGUGCCAUGCCCUCGCCGGGUGAAGAUGGAUUAAUUUUUUAGCGUCAGGUUUUUUCUUUUUCGUAAGAUUUUUUUUUUUGCGCUCAGGUUUUUUAUUUUAUUUUUUACACGUUCGAUGGGUAUUAUUGUUUUUAUUUGGCCUUUUUUGGAGCUGAAAAAUUAAGAUUUUAGAAAAAAGAAGACAUCAAAGUUUUAUUUUUUUACAUUUAGUUAUUUUAUUCCCCCCUCACUAUUUUUAGAGUGAGGGGGGUAGGUUGGGGAUUCUUUUUUUAUUUGGGUGGGGGGUGACCAAGGGCUUAUAUGGCCCCCACCCACUGCUCAUGGGUGGGGGCCGGAGGGUUGAAGGACAAUAGGUCCCCCCAAUUAUCAUUUAUGGCCCCCACCCACUGCUCAUGGGUGGGGGCCGGGGGGGAGGACAAUAUGUUCCCCCCCUCAUUAUCCUUUAGGGCCCCCACCCGCCGCUCAGGUUGACAUGUCCCUACUCGCGGUAUAGCGAGUAGGGGCAUUCGGGAGAUUUUAUGAGAUUUUAUGCUAUUAUUGGAGUCAUAUUGACCCCCAUAGAGUGAGGGAGGACAUGGGGGGCUUAGGAAGUGGCGAGGAGCACUGCUCCUUGCCGCUUCUAUCUUUACAUUUUACAAGUAGGGAGCUGUGAGCCGGUAGCUCCCUCCUUGUAAUAAACGAACGAACACUGAUAUUCAGUAUUUUUUUGUUCGUCUGACAUUUCUAUUCAUUCAUUCGUCUUUCUGACGAAUGAAUGAAUAGAUAAAAUUCCCGUUCGCAUGCCCAAGUGUUUAAUUGGGCAUGUGCGGUGAUUUCAUAGUGCUACCCACACAAAAAUGGCGGCGCCCUAAAUAUAGGUAGGGGCAGAAAAUAAAGAUUAAAAAAUAGGUAAUGUGGGGAUCUUAGGGGGUUAGUUAGAUGUAGUGGAGUCGGGAGGGGGGUUAAAAAAAAUGUGAUUCAGCCAUGACAGUGCUGCUUUAAUUACUUCCCUUGCUGUUUCACACUUAUGUUGCAGGUUGCCAACGUUCUAAUUGAUUGGUGCGAACAUUCCAAGGGGCACUGGGGAGGUCCUCAUUUGUGAACCGAAUGAGGUGGGAAGCAAUCCACGAAUGCUCCCCCUGGAUGGCGUUUGCCUAACGAACGAGCCACCACCUAGGGUAGACAUGCGCCAAGGCUUCCCUUGCAGGCUCAGGCACUGAAGGUAGUGGUGUUGUGGAGACAGGCUCAGGCACUGAGGGUAGUGGUGUUGUGGAGACAGGCUCAGGCACUGAGGGUAGUGGUGUUGUGGAGACAGGUUCAGGCACUGAUGGUAGUGGUGUUGUGGAGACAGGCUCAGGCACUGAGGGUAGUGGUGUUGUGGAGGCAGGCUCAGGGAAAACAAAAAUAGUUGCUUGUGCUAGGAGCACACAUAUUCUAAACUCCCUACUGGGAUUGUCUCUAAAACAAGUCGUUGAGGAGCCAACUCGCAAAGAGGCCAUACUAGAUUUAGUGUUAACAAAUGGAGAUUUCGAGGCUAUAAAUUAGAGGGGCAAAGGUUUAAAAAUAAUAUCAGGAAGUAUUACUUUGCUGAGAGGGUAGUGGAUGCAUGGAAUAGCCUUCCAGCUGAAGUGGUAGAGGUUAACACAGUAAAUGAGUUUAAGCAUGUGUGGGAUAUGCAUAAGGCUAUAUUAACUAUAAGAUAAGGCCAGGGACUAAUGAAAAUAUUUAGAAAAUUGGGCAGACUAGAUGGGCGGUGUUAAGACCUGCAGUGGUUAUGGUACGGCGGUCUUCUAUUCCUUCUCCAAUAGCUGAGCAUAAGUGAUUAUAACUGCAGUAGGAGGUAGAGGAAUAGUGUAGAUGAAUGCAGCUUCCAAGAUGAUUCUCCCCAGCAAAUAGAAUAUUCCCCAAACAUGAGCCUAGACUUCAUGAAGGGUGUAACAGGAAUGAAAUUUAUUGAUGACACACUGGCUUUUAUGAUAAAUCCUCCUGCAAGAGGACCUCCCACAGUAAACAAAGACAAUAACCAAUCAAAAUACAGCUUUACAGUAACCCCCGCCCUCUCUCUGCCUGGGAGAUAUUGAGAUAAGUUAAGGAAUAACCCAAUUAUCUCCAGGCAGAGGGCACACACUUUUCCCAAAAGUAAGAACACCCCUUUCCACACAAGGUAUCCCCACAAAUCUGGGGGACCAACAUAUCCAAAUUUCACCCAGAUCGGUUCAGGGGUUCUUAAAAAGUAUGGAAGUCACAAGUUACCGACCACACACGAGGCUCCUGCCCAAAACAGUUCCACGAAUUCAGCGUGUGCGGUCGGUCAAUUCAGAAAAAGGCAUAAAACGAAUAAAAGUCCCAAAUGGAUCCUCCUGGCUCAUAGAAGCGAUUGCUCCCCUUGUCCGUAUGAACAAAACUACCGAAUGGCGCUCUCCUGGCUGUCCCGCAACUAAAGGAAGCAGGCGUUCGGUAGUUUCAGCAGUGAUUCGGGAGUAGAGUGUCCGAUUUUAGUUCCAGACACUCGACGACCAAGUCCCGCUGCCUCCUUUCAUGCAAACAAGAUGGCCGCUGUUUUCUGUUCCACGUGGCAUUCGGCUAUACGAAAAGCGGCCGCCCAGAGAGCGCUUAAUAGAUGGUUCUUUUGAAGUUAAUGAGCCAGGAGGGUGGUCGGUGUUCGGUAGUUUUAAACUACCGAACCAAUAGAUUCAACAUGCACAAAAUACUGCAGAAAAAGCCCGAACAUAGGAGAAAAUACAGAACUAAGUCUAUUUUCUUCACAGGCCGAAUGGUUCUUAUCUGCCGUCAUAUUCUAUGUUUCUUUGUUUGUGGUUUUGACACAUUGUUACGAGGUGCGAACGUUCUAAGACAACAUUGUAAUUGGGGUUUCGUCAUGGUUCCCGUUCGGGAGGUGAAUGGAUUCCCUUCGUGACGGCACCCCCCGAACGGGGAGCAGGCAGUUUUGGGCGAACACACAUAGCAACUACAGGAGCAAUAUAGGAAAAAUACUGAAAACAUAUGGCCAAACAGUACACAAACAACAGGGAAAUCAGGGCAAUGCACAGUUAAGCGGCAUCAGGGCAAUGCACAAUAUAAACGGGUCCUUUUGGUCCUCUUCUCGGAGGCUGUCUUAUACACACAAGUCAUUUGUGGUGUGGGUAAAUAACUGAAGGGGCUGGCCUUGAACAGACCUCUUUUCCUGUGCGGGGUUUCAUUUUCCAUAGUGAGUCCAUGUCAUAGAAUGUUGUCUUACACACCCAGUAUAAUUGCAGCCACACGUUUCACAUUGUCUUCUUAUUCAUUUACUGCUGUGGAGAAAUGGAUGGGAGAUUAUUGGGCAGCCCUCCUCCAGUUGAUUGAGGGUCUUCCAGACGUCUCAUACAUUUACUUAUCCCUAUGUGAUGGUUGGCUCCAUCUCUGGACUUUUUCAGGGAAUUUGAGCCAUUUUUGAAUGAUAUAUUUUGUAAAUUGUUGUGUAAAAUUCUGAGGAUAGUAAAGUUAGUAAAUCUCCCCCAGAUUGCUGCCUCUGAUUUGCUCAGAAUUUCUAUUCACAAACAUGUGUAGCUAGUGAAUUAUGUUAUGUGUUACAAAACCACAGGCAGGACAAGUGGAUGCCCAAAACAGAGUCCUCCCAUACCGCAAAACAAGGCUGUGUGUUUACAUUCCAAAGUAAGGGAACCCAGGCUGCAUGUUACCCCCAUGUGCCCUUAAUUCAUAUUGCUCUCUGUGUGACAGAUACCAUGUCCUCACCCUAGGGUGGCUGCCCAGAUGCCCACAGUCCACUAUGAGAUGCCCAACGGAUAUAAUACAGAUUAUGGAGCUGAGAGACUGCGAAUCCCUGAGGGGCUGUUUGACCCAUCCAAUGUUAAGGUGUCCAUACCUCUCUAUUACUGACCCAAUCCCCCUCCUAUUACUGACCCAAUCUCUCAUCUGACCCAAUCCCCCCUCCUAUCACUGACCCAAUCUCCAUCCUAUUACUGACCCAAUCCCUCAUCUCAUCCAAUCUCCCCUCCUAUUACUGACUUAAUCCCCCUCCUAUUACUGACCCAAUCCCCCUCCUAUUACUGAUCCAAUCCGUCAUCUGAUCCAAUCCCCCCUCCUAUUACUGACUCAAUCUCCAUCCUAUUACUGACCAAAUCCCCCCCUAUUACUGAUCCAAUCCCUCAUCUCAUCCAAUCCCCCUCCUAUUACUGAUCCAAUCCCUCAUCUGAACCAAUCCCCCUCCUAUUACUGACCCAACCCCUCAUCUGAUCCAAUCCCCUCCUAUUACUGAUCCAAUCCCCCUCCUAUUACUGAUCCAAUCCCUCAUCUGAUCCAAUCCCCCUCCUAUAACUGACCAACUCUCCCUCAUAUUACUGAUUCAACCCCUCUUCUAUUACUGAUCCAAUCCCCCUCCUAUUACUGACCCAAUCCCUCAUAUGAUCCAAAACCCCUCCUGUGACGAAGUGUCCUUCGCCACUUGUGCCUGGAGGGGACUACUGGCUAGCCUCCUGCCUUCCGACUAUGGCUCCUGUGCUGAUAGCUGUAUUUUCCCCUGCAGAAAGGUUUAUUUGUGUAUUUCUGCCGGGGCGUUCAGUACUUUCAGUAGUGCUACCCCAGAUAGCUAUGCUAUGGAGCCUAUUCGUGUAACGAAAGACUAUGGAAAAGACUUUGGCUCCAUGGCGAUUGAACUGUAUGUAUGUGAUCUGAGCGCCAUUCGGUAAUAAUGUGCACUCAGAUCUAAGCUAUCUGGGGAUAUGUUGCAUGUAUAGGUUUUAUGUAGUAAUUGUAACAUUGUGUAAUUUUAUGUCUUUUUGUAACCAUGUGGUUAAUGGAGUCUUGCCUCUGUCCUGGGAGAUAAUUUGAUUACUUCCCAAUUAUCUCCAGGAUAGAGAGGAGGGAUUGUGAUGUCACUGUGGGAGUGUUUUGUUUGUAUUGUCUGUGAUUGGCUAAUAUCCAAUAUGUGUCCCAUUGUUCCAUCAGGUCCCCUAGGGGAGUGUCCACCUGGUGGACACUUGCAUAAAUACCGGGCAGGUAGCCCUCAAUAAAGCAGACCUACUUGCACCUUUCUUGAAGCCUUGGCUCAUGCUUGGGGGAAGGGAUACCUACACUCUGGGGAUUGCUAUAAUCACUUUCUCCCCAGAGUAAGCUCUUGUAAGAGCUUGAUUUGUUCCUGCUACGCUCUCUGGAUUUAGGAGAGGUUCACCCACUAGGAGCUGGAUCCUGGUCAUGAAUCCACAGCGGGUGAGAGACGGCGAGACCCUGGCGCAGCUGCAGCGGCUGGAAGUGGGGUCCGCAGUGCUGAUGGUGUCAGGUGGAGUGCUCAGAGUCCUCGGCAAGCGUAAGGAGCAUCGAUUGGCGGAGGUACUUGGUCGGAGUGCCAGCGGUCCGUCACAUUUGGUGGCAGUGGUGGUAUGGCAUCCUAGUGCGAGGACCAGCAGCUCGGAGACACUGGUAAGGUGUGGAGUUACAGAUUUAUAAUUGAGGGCAACGCUAGCACUCGUGCAGCGCCCCUAUCUACAGAGGAACUCAGGAGAAUGGAGCGACCUAGCAACCGUGCAGCGUCCCCAUGUGAGGAGGAGUUUCUUUGGAGGUCGCAGCAACACUUGGCCCAACAGGGUGGGCCUGUAUCAGAGGAGGGCAUACUGGACUGGAGAGAUGCCACUCGAAAGGAUCUGUGGUAUGAGGCCUUAUAAGGGGGUACAACAGCGGCGGAGAGAGAGCCUUCCCAGUGAGUAACAGUGGUUCCAGGUACUUGUGGACCUGCAGUCACCUUUCCUAGGGGAGCAACCCCUGGAUGAGUGGGUAAUGGAACUGUGGGGCCUGAUUUGGAAGGAGUUGUGGCUGGAUGGAGCUUACCGGGCACUAAAGUGGUACACCACCCAGCGCAACCCUUGGAUGACUAACCACUAUCUGCCGGAAGGAGACGAUUAUAAUGGCCCGGGCUUAUUGUGGGAUGCCUUUGAGAAGGGCAAUGACUUUGGAUGCCCAGCAGAAUGUUAGCUCUGGGACAUCCACAACAUCAGGGAAACUCUGCUGGAUCUUCCCCGAGUGGACGACCUGGGGCCAGACCUGAUUCAUCUGGUCACAAUGGAGUGGGAGCUGGAGCAGAGCUACCAACAUCUGUUCAGCUUAGCACAGCAACCAAGUAUACUACCAGGAGUAGGGACAAUCGGUCCUGCUCCCCAGCGGCAGUAUACUUUGCAGGGAGAGGAGACAACCAGUCUCCCUCCCCCUUGGAGGCCUGAGUUCCAGGAGGAGGUGAUGUUCGAUUCCUCCACUGUACAGCAGCCAGCGUCCUGGGGAGGGGAGGCAACCGGCCUCUGUCUCCAACAGCAGCCAGAGGUACCAGAGGUGAGGGACCUCAUAGACUUGGCCUGGGAAGACCCACAGAUGGCAGGCGGAGAUGGGACCAAGGUCUCUCUUCCGGCCCUACAGGGAUGCAGGGCAGCCGGCAGCAGUAUACUUUGCCGGGAGAGGAGACAACCGGUGUCUAUCCCCUGCAGAGGCAUGAAUUCCAGGAGGAGGUGAUGGUCAAUCCCUCCACCUUACAGCAACUAGCGUCCUGGGGAGUGCGGGCAACCGACCUCCCCCAACAACAGCAGCCGGAGAUACCGGGAGAGGGGUAAGAAAACCCUAACCACACUGGCGCAGAUAGGACCGCGGUCUCUGUGCCAGUCCUACAGGGAUGCUGGAUGGGCGGUCCAGAUCCCCAACCAACCCCGCAGGGAUGCCAGGAGAAGGAGGUAAGCGAAACUUCCCCUCCCCAGCUACAUCCCAACCAGGUCCUGGGGGCAAUGGAUGAGCCAGCGAUAACCACUGACCCCCUCCCAGCAGCAAAGCUGGCAUCCCUGGCAUCCAUGCCCUCCCUUUUCCCCUGGUUCAGAGCCUGAUUUACCACGGGUUACCCCAGCGGAAGAGCUGGCAGCAGGGCAGAGCGCCGCUGGCCUUUGCCCCCCAAGCAACACCAGCAGUUUGCCUAGCUGCACCAGAGGGACCAAGAGUGCUGCGCUGUCCCACUACAAACUUGAACCUACAGGCCAGUACCAUUUAUUGUGGGGGGUUACUCUGCGUAUUUUUCUUUGUGGGUGGGCUGCCCGACUAACCUAGGUACUGACCGGCAGAAGGUCAGGUACCUGUUUAGUCUUCCCCCCCAAAGGGAAGAUGUGUGACGAAGUGCCCUUCGCCACUUGUGCCUGGAGGGGACUACUGGCUAGCCUCCUGCCUUCCGACUAUGGCCCCUGUGCUGAUAGCUGUAUUUUACACUGCAGAAAGGUUUAUUUGUGUAUUUCUGCCGGGGUGUUCAGGACUUUCAGUAUGUGAGUAGUGCUACCCCAGAUAGCUAUGCCAUGGAGCCUAUUCGUGUAACGAAAGACUAUGGAAAAGACUUUGGCUCCAAUGGCGAUUGAACUAUAUGUUUGUGAUCAGAGCGCCAUUCGGUAAUAAUGUGCACUCAGAUCUAAGCUAUAUGGGGAUAUGUUGCAUGUAUAGGUUUUAUGUAGUAAUUGUAACAUUGUGUAAUUUUAUGUAUUUUUGUAACCAUGUAGUUAAUGGAGUUUUGCCUCUGUCCAAACCCCCUCCUAUUACUGACCCAAUCCCCCUCCUAUUACUGAUCCAAUCUCAUUCCUAUUUCUGACCCAAUCCCCCUCCUAUUACUGACCCAAUCCCUCAUCUGAUCCAAUCCCCCACCUGUUACUGACCCAAUCCCCCACCUGUUACUGACCCAAUCCCCAUCCUAUUACCGAUCCAAUCUCCCUUCUAUUACUGACCAAAUCUCCCUCCUAUUACUGACCCAAUCCUUCUCCUAUUACUGACUCAAUUUGUUACAAUUUUAUUGUCCCUGUUAUUGAUCCUUUUAUUGUCCCUCUGUUACUGACCCCCUGUUACUGUCCUCUUUAAUGUCCCCACUCUUUAUUUGCUCCCUGUUACUGACCCCUUUAUUGUCCCCCCCUUUCUCCCCCGUUACUGACCCAAAUAACCCUCCUCUCCAUUUGGGUGAAUAUAUUGACUUUCUGCUUUUCUCAGGGCCUUUCAGGUAACACCAUGCUGGGUGUCGGCCACGUUGUCACCAGUAGCAUCGGAAUGUGUGAUAUAGACAUCCGGCCUGUGAGUGUCUCCUAUAUUCUCCUGGAAUGCACAGUGUAAAAUAAAAAUAGAGUCAACAGCACAAGUAGUAAUGGGGGAGAGAAUAUGAGGCAUAAUGGGCAAUAUCAGGACUGUUGGUAACUGGGGAGAGGCCAUGGUAAAUAGAUUCUCAGGAACACUGAAUAGUGCAUGGGGUUGGGGGUGGCUAGAUUCCUAGGACAUGGUGUAGUGGAGGGGUUAUUUGGAACAUGGAGAAGUUGGGAGGGGGAGAUUCCUGGGAGAUGGUGUAGUGGGGGGGGUGGGGGGGUUCUCUGGAACAUGGAGAAGUGAGGAGAGGGAGAUUCCUAGGACCUGGUGUAGGUGGAAGGAGGGGCUAGAUUCCAAGCACAUGGUGUAGUGGAUGGGUUCUUUGGAACAUGGAGAAGUGGAGAGGGUGAGAUUCCUAGGAAAUGGUGUAGUGGGGUUUUUGUUUGGAACAUGGAGAAGUAGGGAGGGGGAGGUUUAUAGGACAUGGUUGUAGCAGAAUGGACUCUCUUAAUAUACUUUUAUCCUGUUGUUCGUCUGUCCAUACACCCUCGUUCAUUUACCGAACCCCCAUCUUUGUGGUCCCCUUGUUUGCACCUUUUAACAACCGACCACCGCUGGCUGUUAACCUCAAAUUGCUCAUUAAAGAAAGUGUUUCACCGGUGUGGCCACUGUUCGUAUAACUGAACACGUGUUCAAACAAUUUGCGGCCAUUUUGUCUCCCAAACGCGGGCAGCGGUACAUGGUCGUCGCCGGCGUGGAACUCUUUUCAGCUACACGACCCUGCAAACACCUGGUAAACUGGUACCGCUGCCCAUCCAACUUCCCGAACCGUUAUGAGAACUGCAUUCGGGAGGCAUGAACUACCGAGCAGGGGGAACAUUUGUACACUAACAGCCUGGGGGACCAUUCGUCACUGUUCGUGCGAGAAACCCAGAAAGAUGACCGGUCUUUGCCUUGUUUCCUCUGGAACUGUUUUGGGGUAUCACCUCAUGGUGUUCUCAGAUCCAAGCUAUUCAAUGGUAUGACUUUUUCAUUGGGUUCUGAAGUAUUAAAAUCUAUUUUUGGGGUGUUUUUAAAUAUUGUAGAUUUUUCUGUACCUGAGAGACAAUUGAGUUAUAGAUUUUUCUUACACAAUUUUCUCUCAGGCCCAGAGGAUCUUGGGAGGAAAAGCCCUGUAUUUUUGUAUAAGAGACCCCAUGUAGGGGUCUGUGCAUAAAAAGCCAAAAUAAUAUCAGUUGACUCCCAGAACUAUGUGUCGUCAGAUUGAUGGGGAGAAAGAGUCUUGGAGUAUUACACUGUUUCUUUUAGCUCAGAGGACUGAACAGCGGAGAUACCUAUGCUAGGUAUUGGAGCUCCUUUGAGCACUAACCCUGGGCCACCAGCACAGCAAGUACUAGGACCCAUCUCCAACCCCCAAGCCACUCGAUACCCAGCGCGCAGCGGAAUACAGUGCCAUCUGUGCAAGCAAUUCUGGCACUAUCAGAGGAACUGUACCCAGAGCAGGAACCAAUCUGCGUGGAUCCGACGAGAACCAUCCCCUCCAGCACGGGCAGCUGCCCACUAUUAUCAUACAAAGGUCGCCUCCCGGAUGCACCCCUGGAUCUGAAGAACAAUGGGGUACCCUGCACGAGACCGACCCAGUGCAGGCUGCUACUGACAACUGGCAACACCAUCGCCAGUCAGUGGAGCUGAACUGAAGAGCAGCUCAAGGCCUGUGAGAUACAGUAGCCACCCUCACAUUGGUCAAGCAUCACCUGGAUCCAGAUGCAGACCGAACCGGUCCGUAGCUGUGCGGGUAGCCGGGGGAGAAGUACACCGGCUACCUACUGCGAGAGUUCACCUGAAUUCUGGUGCUGGCUCGGGUUUAUUUGAUGUGGGGCUGAUGCAGGAACUCCCCGCUGACGUCUUGCUGGGGAACGAUUUCGGCCAGUUGACCCCAGCAUUUCUACCAUCCCAGGUCACCAACGAGACCUACCCAAUCACCACCAGGUCCCAGGCUCAUACCAUGGAGAAUCACUUGCACUCUGAGCUCCAGGUAGAAAACAUUCCCAAACCGUUGCACCUCUCCUCUGGGAUACCCCCACAGAAUUUGGGCAGAAAAACCUUAGUGAGCCCACGUUGCAGGUCUACAGGGAUAAAGUGACCCAUUCACAGGCAGGAAUAGAGGGAGAGUGAUACUCCUGGCACCAGUCAUACUGUACCGCGACUCAAAGGGUCUUGGCCGAUUCCAUAUCGGUCCCCACCCGACAACUAGUUGUCCCCCAGAAGAAUAGGAGACAGUUACUGCAGAUAGCGCACUUAGGGGUCAGUCGCACUAGAUCUCGGUUUACCCACACCUUCUUUUGGCCAGGCAUCUCCAAAGAUGUUCGACAGUACUGCCAAACUUGUGACACAUGUCAAAGGGUAGGGAAGCGAGGAGAUCGCCACAAGACCAAGUUACAACCCUUAUCCAUCAUAGAGGUACCAUUUGGACGAGUAGCCAUAGACAUUAUAGGACCCCUAUCAAAAUCCAGCCCGUCCUACAAAAGUUACAUUCAGACCAUAGUCGACUAUGCGACCCGGUUUUCAGAGGCUGUGUGUAGUGGAAUGGGCCUUGGGACGGUACCCUUAUGCCUGCUCUCGGCUGUCCAUGCCGGUUUUCCCCCUCCCCGUUGUCCCCUAUGUUUGGGGCUUGUAGUCCCUGUGUGGGACAGAUCUCCCUAUUAUUGAACCACCAUGCUUUUCCUCUGUUUUGCCUGGCCGUUCAUUAAAUACCGUUCUCCUGAUUUGCUACCACUGUUCUGGUCAACAACUGAACAAACUACCGAGAUGUGGAGUGUGCCGCUCAUUAACAUCAAUAACCCCGUUCACACCUCCACAAACCGCAACUACAUGAAUGUUCCAAGCUUUCAACUGGGUGGCCCCCGUUUGUAUGUAUGAACACGUUGCGGCCAUCUUAGAAUACGAACAGAGACAGCGGUAUUUGGUUGUCGAGUGUAUGGAACUAAAAUCGGCCACUCGACGGCGCGAACACCGCUGGGACUUCCACUUUCUGUUACAUACGUGGAGAUCCAUGCGAACAGAGUGGCGUUCAGGGGGUGCAAACUCCUGAACUAGAUACUUAUACGAACAUAUACACAAACAGGUUUUUUUUGUAAUAGUUUCAUGUAUUUUUUUUACUCCUGAGCUGACCGACCGCACAGCCUAUUUUCAUAGAACCUUUUUGGGCAGGCGCCUUGUGUGCGGUCAGUCUAAACUAUACCCCGGUGGUGUUUCGGGCUGCGUUCGUGGGAUCUGAGCACUAUUUGGCUAUAUCGGGUGCUCAGACCCAGGUUAUCCGGGUAUAUAGUACCUUGGGUGUACCUUGUGGGGAAAUGUAUAUUUUGGGGUGAUAAAGAUUAUACAUGUCCUGGACCUGAGAGGUAAUGUAAUUAUAUUGUGUACUUUGCUUCAGUCUACUCUCAGGUCCAGUGGGGAAUGCCCCUGGGAUAUGUAUCUGGAAACCCCUUGCAUGGGGAUUCUCAUAAAAGGCCAGCUGUUGCUCCAUUAAAAUCAGUUAUACCCCCAGAGCUGAGUGUCAUCCAGUUGCUGGAGAGGUGGUAUGACAGGGGAGACAGGGGGCGUAGCUUUCAGAUUGGCCAAAAGGUUCUGAUUUUACAACCUGUUCGUCACAAAAAGCUACAGGCCACCUGGCAGGGUCCAUACCAAGUGGUGGAACAGAGAUGCUCUGGUAGUGGGGGGAGAUGCUUGCUCCACGUGAACAUGCUCAAACCCUUGGGAGGAUGGAGGAUGUGGCAGCAAUAUGUGCAUCUGUCUCUGAUGAUUGAGAAUCUUCCCCUACCAGACCUCCUGGUGGAAGAUCAGAUGAGCUAGGAGAAUGGCUAAGCACUCAAGAACGUAUCCAGGUACGACAAUUGCCGGCCAUGAAUGGAGUAUCGUUUUCGAAUGUACCUGGGUACACUCUGCUGGCCACCCACUAAGUAGACACCUCUAAACAUCUGCCUCUCAGACAGACCCCCUAUAGAAUCCCUGAGGCUGUCAGGGAACACAUAAGACAGGAGAUCUAAGAGAUGCUCCGUCUCAGGGUUAUAGAAGCGUCUGAUAGUCCUUCAGCUUCUCCAGUAGUCUUGGUCCCGAAGCAGGAUGUAACUACCUGCUUCUGUGUAGAUUACCAGAGAUUCAAUGACAAAACAGUAUCUUACUCCAUGCCCAAGAUAGACAAGCUCUUAGAUCGGAUGGCCAGAGGUCAGUACCUUAUGACCAUCGAUCUGUGUAAGAGCUAUUGGCAGAUUCCCCUAGCCCAAGAUGCCAUUCCCAAGUCGGCCUUUGUCACCCUGUUUGGCCUGCACCAGUUUAAGGUCAUGCCAUUUGGGAUGAAAAACGCCCCAUCCACGUUCCAACAUAUGGUGGACCAGCUGCUCGAUGGCUUCCAAGAUUAUGCUUGUGCAUACUUGGAUGACAUCACAAUUUUUAGGAGCAUUUAGGGCAUAUGGGAGUGGUGCUAGACUGCAUUAGAGAGGCUGGCUUGAUCCUCAAGCCGAGGAAAUGCCAUAAUGGAAUGGCAGAAGUCCAGUACUUGGGAAACCGGGUGGGGUAUGGGAAAGAGAAGCCCGAACCGACCAAGGUUAAGGCCGUAGCCCAGUGGCCCACCCCCGUACCAAAACCCACAACACUGAUCCCCCUUAACCACAACCCGAAAUACACAGUCUGAUCCUUAACGAAUCGGCUUGGGGCUGUCCAGGGAGUACUCACGGAUGACUUUUCCAGUUCAGUUUGUCGAGAUAACCCAUCGGCAUUGCCAUUCUGUUUCCUGGGCGGUAGUGGAUAAUAAAGUCAUACGGUUGUAACACCAAACACCAGCGCAACAACCGGGCAUUGUCCCCCGCCACUCGGUUUAGCCAUACCAACAGGUUGUGAUUCAUUCAUUUUCGUAUAGGAGACCCCAUGUUGGGGUCUGUACAUAAAAGCCGUGUGUGGCCAAAAUAAAAUCAGUUGACUACUAGAACUAUGUGUCAUUUAGUUGCUGCGGGGAAAGAGUCUUGGAGUAUUACACUGUUUCUUUUAGCUGUGAGGAUUGAACAGCGCAGACACCUAUGCUAGGUAUUGGAGCUCCGCUACAAUUGUGUAGUGGAGGGUGGGGGGUCUUUGGAACAUGGAGAAGUGAGGAGGUGGUGAUUCCUAGGACAUGGAGCAGUAGAGGGGUUCUUUGGAACAUGGAGAAGUAGGGAGGGGAAGAUUCCUAGGAUAUGAAGCAGUAAGGGGAGGAUUUCUAGGUAGGGAUAUGGAUGGAGAGGAAUAUGGAGUAGUGGGUAAUUCUUAGGAACACGGAGUAAUGAGAGAUUCCCAUAAACAUGGAGUAGUGGGGGGUAGGGUGUCUGGUGUUAUUGGUUACCCAGUAUGGUUUUUCCACUAACUUAUCUUUCCUGUCUCCUUAGGGACUCUAUGGCGGUGUCAUUAUCACUGGUGGUAACACUUUACUCCAGGGGUUUAAUGACCGUUUGAACCGUGAGCUUUCCCAGAAAACACCCCCGGUGAGAAAUCAAAAAACAGGAAUUGGAUUUUCACCUUACAUUUCCCCUCAGCACCCAGGGACAUGUAUGUUCUGUCCCACAUGUUAUUCCAGUACCUAGGGUGGAUGGUAUUUCUUAUUACUUGGAUAGAGGUUUAUUUCAUCCAUGUAACACAUGAGACCCAUGUCUCACUCUCUUCUAAACCGUCUUUCUCUCCUUUCUUUCUUCUCUCUUCACAGACCGUCAUUUAAAUUUCCAUUUAUUUACACAGUAAUUACUGCAAAUCUGCUCUGUGUAAUGCGUCAUUAGAGAAUACAUCAUUUUUUUUCUGUGUAACCCCACAAUGCUCCCUUCCUACAUCAUACUGGCCCCUUAAAACCUUUAUCCUAACCCACCCUCCCCCAUUUACAUCAUACCAGCACCUUUAAACAUUUUUUUCUAACCCACCCACCCCCAUUCUACAUCAUACCGGCGAUUUUAAACCUUUAUCCUAACCUACCCUCCUCCAUUCUACAUCAUACCGCCCCUUUUAACCUUUAUCCUAACCCACUCUCCCCCAAGCUACAUCAUUCCGGCCCCAUAAAUUCUUUAUCCUAACCCACCCUCCCCCAUUCUACAUCAUAUCGGCCCCAUCAAACCUUUAUUCUAACCCAACCUCCCCCUUUCUAUAUCAUAUCGGCCCCAUUAAGCCUUUAUUCUAACCCACCCUCCCCCAUUCUACAUCAUACUGGCCUCUUUAAACCUUUAUCCUAACCAACCCUCCUGCAUUCUACAUCAUACCGGCCCCUUUAAACCGUUAUCCUAACCUACCCUCCCCUAUUCUUCAUAAUAUCGGCCCCUUUAAACCUUUAUCCUAACCCACCUCCCCAUUCUACAUCAUACCGGCGCCUUUAAACCUUUAUCCUAACCCACCCUGCCCCAUUUAACAUCAUACCGGCAACUUUAAACCUUUAUCCUAACCCACCCUCCCCCAUUCUACAUCAUACCGGCCCCUUUAAACCUUUAUCCUAACCCACCAUUCUACAUCAUACAUGUCCCUUUAAAUCUUUAUCCUAACCCACUCUCCCCUUCCCUCCCCAUCCUACAUCAUAACUCCCUUUUUAAACCCUUAUCCUAACCAUUCCUUCCCAUCCUAUAUCAUACGUGUCCCUGUAAAUCUUUAUUUGCAUUCUCUUUUCCCAUCAUACAAUCCUUGCUCCCCUCUAACCCUCAGCUUCGCCCCUCUUUGUCUCAGAGUAUGCGUCUGAAACUCCUUGCCAGUAACAGCUCUAUCGAACGUCGCUUCAGUUCCUGGAUUGGUGGCUCCAUUCUGGCCUCUCUGG
Non-coding RNA from Pelobates cultripes (western spadefoot toad), 24317 nucleotides. The record is from the annotation of a GenBank genome assembly. NCBI's taxonomy places the organism in Eukaryota, Metazoa, Chordata, Amphibia, Anura, Pelobatidae.